RNAcentral lists this ribosomal RNA (805 nucleotides) under Metarhizium ellipsoideum. RNAcentral's name for it is "partial 28S ribosomal RNA". It matches the Rfam family "Eukaryotic large subunit ribosomal RNA", at positions 106 to 941 of the family's 3401-position model. Lineage: Eukaryota; Fungi; Ascomycota; Sordariomycetes; Hypocreales; Clavicipitaceae. The record is from RNAcentral.
AGCUCAAAUUUGAAAUCUGGCCCCUAGGGCCCGAGUUGUAAUUUGCAGAGGAUGCUUUUGGCGAGGUGCCUUCCGAGUUCCCUGGAACGGGACGCCAUAGAGGGUGAGAGCCCCGUCUGGUUGGACGCCGAGCCUCUGUAAAGCUCCUUCGACGAGUCGAGUAGUUUGGGAAUGCUGCUCUAAAUGGGAGGUAUAUGUCUUCUAAAGCUAAAUACCGGCCAGAGACCGAUAGCGCACAAGUAGAGUGAUCGAAAGAUGAAAAGCACUUUGAAAAGAGGGUUAAACAGUACGUGAAAUUGUUGAAAGGGAAGCGCUCAUGACCAGACUUGGGCCCGGUGAAUCAUCCAGCGUUCUCGCUGGUGCACUUUGCCGGGCUCAGGCCAGCAUCAGUUUGCCUUGGGGGAUAAAGGCUGUGGGAAUGUGGCUCCUCCGGGAGUGUUAUAGCCCACUGCACAAUACCCUGGGGCGGACUGAGGUUCGCGCAUCUGCAAGGAUGCUGGCGUAAUGGUCAUCAGCGACCCGUCUUGAAACACGGACCAAGGAGUCGUCUUCGUAUGCGAGUGUUCGGGUGUAAAACCCCUACGCGUAAUGAAAGUGAACGCAGGUGAGAGCUUCGGCGCAUCAUCGACCGAUCCUGAUGUUCUCGGAUGGAUUUGAGUAAGAGCAUACGGGGCCGGACCCGAAAGAAGGUGAACUAUGCCUGUAUAGGGUGAAGCCAGAGGAAACUCUGGUGGAGGCUCGCAGCGGUUCUGACGUGCAAAUCGAUCGUCAAAUAUGGGCAUGGGGGCGAAAGACUAAUCGAACC